UUGAAACACUGGUUCCGUACGACCAGCGAAAUUAAGCAACGUCAGGCUUGUUCAGUAUCUAGAUGAGUGACGUCUUGGGAAUACCAGGUGCUGUAG
Molecule: non-coding RNA, 96 nt
Organism: Acanthosepion pharaonis
Lineage: Eukaryota; Metazoa; Mollusca; Cephalopoda; Sepiida; Sepiidae
Source: the annotation of a GenBank genome assembly